AUCAAAUAGAGAUUUUUUCUUUCGACCAUAUUUCGAUUGUUAAUACGAUAUAUAAGGACCGCUACUCCAAAGAG
RNAcentral lists this transfer RNA (74 nucleotides) under Helianthus annuus subsp. texanus. RNAcentral describes it as "tRNA-Ile". Lineage: Eukaryota; Viridiplantae; Streptophyta; Magnoliopsida; Asterales; Asteraceae. The record is from RNAcentral.